AGGUCCAGCCUGCCCAGUGACAAAAUUCAACGGCCACGGUAUCCUAACCGUGCGAAGGUAGCAUAAUCACUUGUUCUUUAAAUGGGGACUAGUAUCAACGGCAUCACGAGGGUUACACUGUCUCCUUUUUCUAAUCAGUGAAACUAAUCUCCCCGUGAAGAAGCGGGGAUACCCCUAUAAGACGAGAAGACCCCAUGGAGCUUUAAACCCAACUACACUCCCGACUCUCAAAACCACUAAACUCCCGGGACCCUACUACGUUGGUUUUAGGUUGGGGCGACCACGGAGUACAAUAAAACCUCCACAAUGAACAGGACUAUUCCUUUAUCUAAGAGCUACACCUCUAAGAAUUGACACAUCAACAUAAUAUGAUCCAUUUUUUGAUCAAUGAACCAAGUUACCCUGGGGAUAACAGCGCAAUCCAUUUCAAGAGCCCCUAUCGACAAAUGGGUUUACGACCUCGAUGUUGGAUCAGGGUAUCCCAGUGGUGCAGCAGCUACUAACGGUUUGUUUGUUCAACGAUUAAAACCCUACGUGAUCUGAGU
RNAcentral lists this ribosomal RNA (545 nucleotides) under Mantidactylus ulcerosus. RNAcentral describes it as "partial 16S ribosomal RNA". It matches the Rfam family "Bacterial large subunit ribosomal RNA", at positions 1850 to 2610 of the family's 2925-position model. Lineage: Eukaryota; Metazoa; Chordata; Amphibia; Anura; Mantellidae. The record is from RNAcentral.